Molecule: long non-coding RNA, 599 nt
Organism: Mauremys reevesii (Reeves's turtle)
Lineage: Eukaryota; Metazoa; Chordata; Testudines; Geoemydidae
Exons: 3
Source: RefSeq, a predicted model, not a curated record
AAACAAUGCAACCUCAGUGAGGUCCAACCCUCAAAACCACCCACAUAUGCGCCAAGGCACCUAGCUGUGAAUAUACUGCUAAAAGGCAACCUUUUUUGGACCAAAAGAAAAGCAGACAGCUAAAAAGUUAUAGGUUAGCCCAUCUGUUCAUGACCUAAAUAGAAUUAGCACAAAACAUACAGAGUUCAAAGGGAUGGAGGAGGGAACAGAGUGGAGGCUGCAGAAAAGCAACUACCAAACAAAAACCCAUUUAUAAAAGGAAUUUCUAAUGUAUCCAGAAUGCAUGGGCCUAGUUUGGUAGAGAAUCACCAGGUGGCAUUCUACAUCUACUUUGCACAGUUCCCAGAUACCUGCACCGAAUGAUCACCCCAUUCAUAUUUCAUCUUGGCUGUUGGAACAGUCCUUCUUGCCAUUAAAAUGACAGAUCUGGAAGUGGAAAAUGUGAGGACAUAUGGUGCAUGGAGAGUCCAUAGUUUGUAGUGAUAACCAUGUGCUUCAUUGUGUGUCGUUACUUGUUUAUUUUUUAAAUAAAAGCUUACUUUUGAAGAACACCUUGUAUCUGAAGAUAUUUCUACCAUAUGGCAAAUCUUAUGUGUAAU